AGAUAUAUUUAUUGAAAAUCUCAUGGUAAAUUGUUGCUUCGCAGACACUCUCUUGUACAAACGAACACGUAUAAUCAACAAAAGCCAAAGCGACUAACAAAACAAAACAAAAAAAAACAGUGACAGUAAAGUCGGAUCCAGUCAAGUACUUACAUACCAGCAGUGCGUACAAUGAAAGUAAUAAUGGUCAACUCAUUCCGUUCAGCAAAAGCGAAGAGUUCACAAAGUUUAAAAAAGCUAAAAAGGUAUAAAGAAUGUUUAAGUGAAGUAUAAACCUAAGCAAAUUCAUACGCAACAAAGGGCAUUUCGGUGGUGAAACGCGCAUUUGGCUAACCGGAUGUCGUCCCUAUUGCAGCAGCAAUUGACUUUAGAAAAACGACUCAAAACAACAUCUCAUACGGCAGGUGCCGUGUUACCUCCCUCGCCGGCGCCAUCACCUUCAUCACUGCACGUGUCAAUUUCCGUCACCCCGGCCGCUACAACCAACACGUUAACAGGUACGCUGUCCAAUGUUUCUUCGCCUGCUAGUCCGGCGCCUUUAGAUCAGGAGCAGCUUUACGCUGAUACUGCGCCGAUGACCGCAGUGAAGACAUUGAAUAUUGGUGGGGCCGACUACGUUUCGCCAACUUCUGAUGGCAGGAAAAAUGCCAGUAACGGCAGCGGUGGAAAUUGUGAUACAGUCGACAACCAAUCUGUCCAUUCGACUGAUCAGGCACUGAUUUCGUUUCAGAAUGGAGCCGUCGUUCGAGCACUGCACACUGCUUUAAAUGACAUGAACACUAACCAUAAUGUUGCAACAACACUCUCACUGCCGCUGUCCCCGGUUGGAACUUCGAUCGCGGAAGUGGUGUCACCAGUGGCGCCCGGCUUGUAUGGUUGUGGAAGCGCUGCGGGUACAAAUAAAUCGGAGUUUGUUGAUAACAGCCUCACUUUUGCCUCGGAUGCGACAGAGGUACGUGACCAGCCGUUCGUGCAAUAUGGCAGAAUAUUGGAGAAAUAUCCCCAUAAACGGGAGUUCGCCGCUGAAUUAAUGCCUACUAAGCAGCACAUUAAGCAACAGCAGCGAAAGGCGGCGCACACUGAAAUGAAAACACGCAAUGAAUCUGAGUCCGCAGCAUCCCCUCUCGAAAGCCCUAACCUUGAUGUGAAAAGCGUUGGUGAAACUGAAGCUGCCGACGAUGAUAAGAUUCCUUCGAACACAAACACGUAUUUGCACAGCGAACUUUUGAAUGAUGCCCUACCGAAGGGUAUGCUAAACCAUUUGCCCUCAUUAUCAGAUCCAUGUUCAGACCCACGUUUGACGCAAACGCGAACUCCCUAUGGCUGCUCGAUCCCGCAGACGAAUAGUAAUCAGGCCGAUGACUCUGUUAGUCAGCACUUACCUUCGAAUGAUUUUAUGGAGCCCGCAACAGCAGCGAUAAUGGACAAAGAUCGUCAACUGCUGGCCCGGCUUUUCUCCACAGAUUUAGUUAUUCCAAAAUGUUACCAGCGUCGGAACGCGGACGCCCCUCGAGUCCUAUCAGACGUGAAUCUCUCUUUUUCGACCACGCCUGCAGAUGACACAGUUAGUAACGAAACAAAUAGCAGGCUUGAGCGCAAUAACGGCGGAUCAGACGGUGGGAUCCGUUUGGAAAAUCCUGUAACAUCUAGUGAAAUUUCGGCUUCAUUAAGCAGUUAUUUGCGACCCAUAGAGCCAACAACUGAGCUCUCGAAACAACCAUCGGUGUCCAGUGCAGCAUUUACGUUAUUAACGGAAAUACUUUUGAGGCACCACGACCAUCAGCAACUGCAGGUACUCUCGGCCGCAGCUAACGCGUCUGGUGUGGCGCCGAAUUUGCAAAUGGAUACCGCCUUCAACAAAAACAAAACGUCAGUAGCAGAACAGCCGCAGACGCAUCUUCAUGUGCAACCACUACCGAUACCCUUACAACUGCCGAUCCCUUUGUCUUUGUCUCUGCCACUACCGCUGCCGCUACUACCGAUCAUCAACACUAGUAGCAAUGCACAUGCACAGAACCCUUCCUACAAUCUUCCGCCAUUUCUGUAUGGCGGCAUCUCAGGCAGCGAAUGCAAAGAGCCUAUAUAUUUAAAGCAGCCUCUUCAACAAACGUUGCACGAACCACAAGCGUCUGAUGAACAAUUGCAAAAGCAACAGAGAUCGAGCCAGUUGUUAGCCACGCAAAUUUUAUGCUCACGGCUGCUGCGCGCCAAUGCGCCAGCGCUGUCAGAACACUUACGUGAACGCGAGCUACACUUUAUAGACUAUGCGUCAAGCGGCCCGAAAAUGGGCUUCCAACCAGACAGUGCGCUACCGAGGACGCACUAUAGCAACAACAAUCGGCAUCAUGUAGCGAAUAACAGCGAGGGAAACAACAAUAGUAACGCUUCCCAUCACACGAUGAACUGUGAUCAGCCAGAAAACAGACCAAAUCAUCACUCAGCGUCGUCAGAUUUACUCUCCGAAAUCGGUAGUGAUGAUCCCUACAAUCACACUGCGGCCACCUCAAAUAUAGCUACCGCCACUACCAGCACAAAACUAAGCUUCGAAGAGUUACUGUCUGCUCAAGAAGUGUCGCUAUCACAAGCUCAAAUGCACCUCGAUCAGUUUCUAGCACACAGCAUGAACUUUGUUGAGCUGACGGCGCCGAACUCCUCGACUUCUGUCAAGAGAUUGUCACGCGUCGUUCCGCUAGUCAAAGUGAAUAUGCAGCAACGGAAACAACUAAUCGACUGCAUUCAAGUACAGAUCAACCAAUUAAAGCGACAAUGCGCCAGUGCAAAGCUUUAUUAUGAACGCGGCAUGUGUCGACUGCAAUCAUCCGAAGCGCUAACGCAGCAGCGGCAAUGCCCGUCCAGUUUUGUGGCUCAUAAGAUUGCAACAUCAGCGGCAGUAGCAGCAAUGUCAGCAGCCGUCGAAACGCAUCCACUUCCGCCCCUCGCGUACAUCAAGACUGAGCUUAUGCACAAGGAAGACUGCGAAGGGGCUAACAGGGAGGCAGCAGAUGUCAAGGAAUAUAACAAACAGUCUAGCAUGAAGUUAGGACGCUCGUUGGUGGAAAUAGAGAACGAGAUAGAGCAAUACGUCCAAGCCUUAUGUAAAAAUAAUGGCAAUGACAGCGCAGUUGAGAAAGACAACCAUGAUACAGAAAGCAAAAACAAUUUGGAACUUGAUGAAGGUCUCACUUGCGGUGCCAACCACAAAGAGGACAAAGAGCUCGGGUACAGUAGUGGAAAAUGGCGCGAGGAAAUGAGCGGAAAUUCUAUACCAACUGGCGGGGAUGUCAGCAGAUGUCUCACACCAGCGUCACCCAUCUGUUUUUGGCACCCAGAAAAUCGCGGCCAUUGCGUGAAUGACAGCUCCUUAACCGUUGCCGAAAUAAUCCUGGAAUGUGCUGCUCUGACCGUACAAGCGAGCAUGCGCGAUUCCGGCUUUUCCGUGAAUUCUCUCUCCACGUCACGAAACUGUGCACAACCACAAAACCGCAAUGUAGAGUUAAAUUCAGCAGUUGGUGGACAGUCUCAACACUCCUUUGGGACUGCUCCCGCAGCAGGAAACUCAAACUCUGACUUAACAUCACAAUUUGAUUCCUGUAAUGUUGCCGAUGCCACUAAAGGCAACGCUGAAAAAAGUUUAUCUUCGCUGGUGUUGGGUAUGACGGCGCCAACGCCUGUUAUCUCACCAAUGCCCGUGAAUACAUCUACUUCCACACCGACGCUGGUAUCGUCGUCGACGCCAACCACUACGCCUACUCCUCCGCUGACUGCGAAUGGUUUAGCGGCGGCUGCAAAAAGUCGGCGCAAAUCAAACUAUGCGCACCGCAUUGAAACAAUUGGUACCCAACCUGCAGCGCCCAAACACGUCGCUAAAACUUACCGCUUCUAUGAACAACAAAAUUCGCAUAAUCUCAGACAGUGCUACAACAGUAACGGCAGUGGCAGUAGUACCUCUGUCAGAGAUGGAGCCAAUGACGGCAAAAACUAUCAGGAUGAGAAAUCCGGCAAGCAGCGUGAAGGCGGACUGACGAAUCAUUCUACAGAGGCGACGGCAGCAACGUCGGCAGCGUCCGAAGCGACCCUUGGCCACCAAAAUAGCCACCAGCAACAACAGUAUGCCCUCCAACAGCAGCAGGACCAUCAUCAUCAUCAAACUCAAUUUAAUGUUACCAACAACAGCAAAAAUAACAACAACUGCAGCAACAGUGCAUAUGGCAUACAUGCUGCAGGGAGCAAUACGCCAAACGUGAGUGCAACAGCUGCAGCCACGGUUGUGGCUCUUCAGGAGCGAGCCUUCACCGAUAUCUUCAAAGCGCGCUUCAACGCACUCACCGCAGCGGCUGUCAUGAAUGCCACCGUCGGUAUAUCAGCCGCCGCUGCCGCCGCUGCAGCAGCGAACACAACAACUGCGCCAGAUGGACCUUAUGACUUAAGCAUCAGCGGAAAAGUCAAGAAAACAAACUUGGAUACGAAAAUAUCCGCAGGCAAUCCCCAGGGAAACGAGUGCAAAGACAACUCUAACGAGAAGAAGAAACCGCAUAUCAAAAAGCCACUUAAUGCGUUCAUGCUCUACAUGAAGGAAAUGCGCGCCAAGGUGGUCGCCGAGUGUACAUUGAAAGAGUCAGCGGCGAUAAAUCAAAUACUUGGUCGAAGGUGGCAUGAGCUUAGCCGUGAGGAACAAAGUAAAUAUUACGAAAAAGCGCGGCAAGAGCGACAGUUGCACAUGGAAUUAUAUCCAGGGUGGAGCGCCCGGGACAACUACGGUUAUGUUUCGAAAAAGAAAAAGCGCAAAAAAGACCGAUCGCCCGCGGAUUCGGGAGGUAAUAAUAUGAAAAAGUGCCGUGCCCGCUUUGGCUUAGAUCAGCAGAACCAAUGGUGCAAACCCUGCAGGCGCAAAAAGAAAUGUAUUCGUUACAUGGAAGCGAUAAGCAGCGGCAGUGCCGGCAGUAGCAGCACUAAGGACGAUUGUUAUCAAGAAUUGGAUGACCUAGACGACCCUGAAAGCGAUGAUAAUUUGGGCAGUCCAGGCAGCGGUGAUGACAACAAUAAAACCCCGGAUGAUGACACAGAGUCGCUGAAUCAUUCGUUAUCUAGUCCAGGCUGCCUUAGCGGUUUGUCAAGUCUCCAGAGUCCGUCCACUAGCUUGGCGAGUCCAUUGAAUCUGCUCGCCAGUCCAGCAGCACCGGUUACAGUGGGCCUGACAUUCGGUCUCGGCGACCACCAGUAUCAGCAGCAGAAUGCGCAAUCCCAUCAACAAUUGCCGCAGCAUGCGUCGUCACUACAAGCGCAGCAGCAGUUGGUGCAGCCGAGCAGCAUUGUUGAUACGUCGGCGGCACAGCAGGCGCGAUUGUCUUGCCCACCGCAGCAACUGCAUCUGAAACAGCAUCCGCAGCAACAUUACCCGCUUGCGCAUACGGAACAGGCGCUCGCUAACAGCAGUGUUUUUGAACACUCGAAGGCAACAAAAUCGUUCUUCUGUGGUGGCGGCAUGGAAGGCGUAUGCGGCGGAGUUGACGAUACAUUAAUGUCGCCAGCUCUGUCAAAUAAUGGCGCCAGUGGCAUGGGUCUCGGUAAUAAUUUAACAAAUACCUCAUCCUCGACUGCUGCGGCUGCGGCGUCCGCCUUUACAGAACGCACAAUGCGUACACUACUGAAUCCUAGUCCGUCUACUUCGCUACUUCAUAGCAAUUGUUUUCCGCCAAGCAGCCUUGAAUCGAAAGGCGGCGCGAUCGUGUCCAUUGCUCAAAUGCUGUCUAAUACCACCAGCAAUGCAACGUCCAGCGUAAAUGCCAGAACUUCUAGAUCUACGUCAGUCAGCGUCGCUUCCAGCGACACUACAACUAACUACUCCACAACCGUUGAGACUGGAACGUCAAAUGGUUGCAAUUCCUACACCAGCAACUUAAGUACCACUGAGAACCCUAGCGAAUUGGGCAGUAAUGGUAAUUACGAGAGCAUUCAACUAGCGCCCGCUACUCAGUCGAAUGCAAACAAAUCCACUCCACUUAUCGAUGGCAAAUCCUCAUCCGCUUCAUCAGCGGCUUCUUCGCCAGCUGCCGACAACUUGGAAAAGUCAAAUGUUACACCAGCGCAUAGAAAUCCAAUCGGCGCAAAUCCACAUGACAUCAACAACCCACUAAGCAUCAAUCAGCUGACAAAAUGUAGUGAAAGUAUAAGCAAUAGUAGCAGUCACAAUAAGUCGCAAAGCAUCAGCGUCAAUGAGAACCUUAAUGUGGCAGGCACAGAGUGCUCAACAACAUUGUCCUCUAGCGUUAGCAAUGGUACCACACAGACAUAUAAAGUCAGUAGCCAUCAGAAGCAACUGGCCUCGCGCCUGCCAACAUCUGCGACUCCGCAUCAGCAGCUCUUGCCGCCAGCACCGCUACAAUAUCAGCAGCAAUUUCAUCUGUGCGGUUCGUCCGGUCCGCCACCCCCGCCACCGCCUAUGCAACAUCACACCACCCUCCACCAUGCGCACCACCACCAUCCCAAAGAGCAUUCACCGCUCUUUAAUCAGCACUUCCAGCAGUUUAGCCACCACCUGGCUUCCGUGGCGGCAGUAGCGGCGGCGGCAGCAGGCGUGCAUAUACCCAACAUAAUUGGCGCGGCGGCAGUUGCGAGCAUCAAUAACAGUAUACACCGCAGCGGCGGCUUAAGUGCAACGAAUGACUCAAACUUGCCGAGUGCGACCAACAUCUGCGGACCACCAGCCAACGCUUUGACUGCAACGCUCUCCUCUAUAACAACUACAACAGCAGCAGCAACUUCAACUACGUCGGCAGCGGAAGAAAUUACUACAGGCUGCAAUUCAGCAACCACAAACAGCAGCGUCUCCUUGACGCCGAUUAACCGGCGCACAGGGACGGCGACAGCAGCAGACUCUAGUGUCGCUAAUGUUGUUGUUAAUACGAGUACUCCUGGUGGGGAAAAAGGCGCUAUUAGCGUUACGUAACGGCAAGAACAACAAUUAGUGCCGCAGUCAAGCGAGAUCAAAUGCGAAGUGCUAAAUUCCAUCGAAAGAGUCAUCAACACCGGAAGCAACACAAUUUCAGUAGCAACCUCAAUGCUAUGCAUAGUAAUUUUUGGGUGUAAUUUUAACCCACAUUCACCAUAACCAUUUUUUUCGGAUUUGUAUAAAGCUUUUUGAUUCACGGAGUCAAUGGUUAUCAACUUAACUUAAAUUUCCCCAAAGCAGUAGAAAGACACAACCUUCGGCUUGAAAGUGGCUUAAGUCACUCAUACCUCUUGUGCUUAAAUGACCGGUUACUUGUAACCGGAUGCAUCUGUAAAUCUUUCUAUCGUCAUAAACUAAUGACACAACCUUUACCUUAUGUUGAUGAAGUUGGACGAAUAACCGACGCGUCCAGAUACAAGUAACCGGCCAUUUAAGUACAAGAGGUAAGAAGUGACUUAUGCCACUUUCAAAAUAAACGACUCACAUGUCUGGUGAAACUUAUAAGAUCGAAUAAAUUUUUUUAAUUUUAGGAACCGAAAAGCAAUAUUUAAUCGCAGUCGAACUUGUUUUUAGAAAACAACUUUUUUAUGAGAAUGAAAAAAAGGCAAUCAGAGCUGCAUUUUAUUUAGUUCGGACCAGUUCUCCUCUAAUUUUUGGAGUUCACCUUGAUGUUGUCACAUAAAGAAGAGGGUCAUACAGCCCUGCAAAAAGUGGGACUAGGUUAAAUACUAGUA
Molecule: unclassified non-coding RNA, 7683 nt
Filed under: Rhagoletis pomonella (apple maggot)
Lineage: Eukaryota; Metazoa; Arthropoda; Insecta; Diptera; Tephritidae
Description: uncharacterized LOC118745624, transcript variant X3
Source: RNAcentral